Molecule: unclassified non-coding RNA, 487 nt
Filed under: Hevea brasiliensis (rubber tree)
Lineage: Eukaryota; Viridiplantae; Streptophyta; Magnoliopsida; Malpighiales; Euphorbiaceae
Source: RNAcentral
GGUGGAUGGACUCAAGUGUAUGAUAACAUCCUUUCAUUUGCAACCAUUAGAGGUGCUGCUCAUGAAGCUCCUUUCUCUCAGCCAGAGAGAUCACUUGUUCUUUUCAGGUCAUUUCUUCAAGGCAAGGCACUUCCUGAAGUAUUCUAAGAUCCCAAAUUGGUGAUUGGACAGCCAGAGUAAAUAGGUCUUUCUUGUGCAUACUCUUCACAGUUAAAUGUAAAAGGGUCUUUUUCUUCUUGUUUUUUUGCUUUUGCUCGGAAAGAUUAGAAGUUGUGGAGGUCCGUGUAAGCUUGUUAGAACACCACGAUUAUUCGAAAAGAAAUGAUUAGAAGACUAGAAGAGUCCAAAAAAAAAAAGGUGUGAAAAUAGAUUUAGUUUUCAUUUUCUUUCUUUAAAUUUUGGCUGGCAUGCAAAUGAAUGCAGGAAGAGCAUCUGUAAGCUUUGUUGAAAGCAAAAGGGUCCACCAUGACCAAAUAUUUGAUCUUUC